UGCCAGCCGCCGCGGUAAUACGAAGGGGGCUAGCGUUGUUCGGAAUCACUGGGCGUAAAGCGUAUGUAGGCGGAUCAAAAAGUCAGUUGUGAAAUCCUCUGGCUCAACCAGAGAACUGCAGCUGAAACUACAUGCCUUGAGUCCAACAGAGGGAAUCGGAAUCCAGGGUGUAGCGGUGAAAUGCGUAGAUAUUCUGGAGAACACCAGUGGCGAAGGCGGAUUCCUGGGUUGGUACUGACGCUGAGGUGCGAAAGUGUAGGGAGCGAACAGGAUUAGAUA
This 279-nucleotide ribosomal RNA is filed under the name uncultured bacterium. Its description in RNAcentral is "partial 16S ribosomal RNA". It matches the Rfam family "Bacterial small subunit ribosomal RNA", at positions 506 to 784 of the family's 1533-position model. The record is from RNAcentral.